CAGCCGCCGCGGGAAUACGAAGGGUGCAAGCGUUACUCGGAAUUACUGGGCGUAAAGCGUGCGUAGGUGGUUGUUUAAGUCUGCUGUGAAAGCCCUGGGCUCAACCUGGGAAUUGCAGUGGAUACUGGGCGACUAGAGUAAGGUAGAGGAUAGUGUAAUUUCCGGUGUAGCAGUGAAAUGCGUAGAGAUCGGAAGGAACAUCUGUGGCGAAGGCGACUAUCUGGGCCAUUACUGACACUGAGGCACGAAAGCGUGGGGAGCAAACAGGAUUAGAGACCCCGGUAGUCCCUGUCUCUUAUAC
Molecule: ribosomal RNA, 301 nt
Filed under: uncultured bacterium
Lineage: Bacteria
Description: partial 16S ribosomal RNA
Rfam family: Bacterial small subunit ribosomal RNA
Source: RNAcentral